RNAcentral lists this ribosomal RNA (304 nucleotides) under uncultured bacterium. RNAcentral's name for it is "partial 16S ribosomal RNA". It matches the Rfam family "Bacterial small subunit ribosomal RNA", at positions 506 to 807 of the family's 1533-position model. The record is from RNAcentral.
CAGCAGUAGCCGCGGUAAUACAGAGGGUGCGAGCGUUAAUCGGAUUUACUGGGCGUAAAGCGUGCGUAGGCGGCUUUUUAAGUCGGAUGUGAAAUCCCUGAGCUUAACUUAGGAAUUGCAUUCGAUACUGGGAAGCUAGAGUAUGGGAGAGGAUGGUAGAAUUCCAGGUGUAGCGGUGAAAUGCGUAGAGAUCUGGAGGAAUACCGAUGGCGAAGGCAGCCAUCUGGCCUAAUACUGACGCUGAGGUACGAAAGCAUGGGGAGCAAACAGGAUUAGAUACCCCUGUAGUCCCUGUCUCUUAUAC